Molecule: long non-coding RNA, 1474 nt
Organism: Engraulis encrasicolus (European anchovy)
Lineage: Eukaryota; Metazoa; Chordata; Actinopteri; Clupeiformes; Engraulidae
Exons: 5
Source: RefSeq, a predicted model, not a curated record
AGUUUUGAUUUUUGUCUUUUUGAUGGGUUGAUGAAAGGAUUUUACUCCACUGCCGAGUCUUUGUUCACAGAAUUCUGUCAGUGCCUCUUCACCUGUCUUUUCGGCAUGCAGCAAGUCUGCUGCGAUGGCCUCUGAUGCCACAUGUCCAGACGAGAUUUGAAGCAGAGCAUCUCCAUCCAGGGAAGGGUCAAAGGGGUUCACCAUGUUUUUGACAGUGGUGAGAAGGUUGGUGACAUCGCUCUCAUCCCUCUGCCUUCUGGUCUGGUCCAGCUCAGCAUUCAGAUGUUCCACUGGGCUCCUCCCUGCCAUAUUUUUACAUUCGACAGUAAUUGCUGCCCGCUCGUGCUGUGUGAUGGUCCAUCGGUGAAUGGCACCUUUAUUAAGGGAGAACCCACACACACCUCCCUUAGUCUUGGUGUCUCUAUUCACUGUUUGUUCGAUCACCUGAUCACAGGCUGUACCAGCAAAGCCAUGUGUUGUACUUCUACGAGCAACAAAGUCUCCUGAAAUUAGCUGCUGGUGUGCAAAUGGGUGGGUUUCUUUCAAGUUUGUCAUCUCACCCCAGUAUGCCGUCAGAUACCUGGCAUAAUUCACUUUGUCACAGGCAAAAAACCAUGGCAGCAUGGACCGGACGGUGGACAAAUGGAGAGCCCAGUUCCCCUCUCUGGUUGCACGAAUGAAGAGAAGCAAAAUCUCCACCAUUUCAAGCAGUACUGUCUUGCAGUGUGUUGAAGUAAGCCUGCCACCGGAGUCUUUGCAGUGCCUCUGCGAGGAGUUUGUGGGCCCGGAUGCUCCUGUUGUAAUGGUGGCCGGAAAUAACACCGCCAAUGGAGCCUGCAGCCACGAGCUCUGAUUCAAUUAAGAUGUCCUGAAGGCCGGCGUCUGCAUAGAGCUUCCCAAUGCAAGAGAGAUUGUCUGCAAUGGCGAGGGAGCGGCUCAGGAUUGUGUGAACUGUUGUGAGGUCGGUUGGGCUAGCAUCAAUCACGGGGUCUCCUCCCCGAAGUCAUUGUUGUCCCAGACCAAGGUCACCGGCACUUCAGGACAGAUGGACUCGGUUGGUAAAGUGUUGGUAGCAGCCUCUGUGGUACCCAAUACCAUUUGGUACAGGAGUGGGAUCCUGGCUUUCCUCCAGCUGAAACGUCUGCACUGCAUCUUCUGCCACUGCUCUUUCCCUGCAGUUUAGGUCUUUCCACAGAAACACUGAACUCUUGAACUUCUCCCAGCUUUUAUUUGUAAAAGGUGUUAUGGGUCCAUCGCUAUCCACUACAUGCAUGCAGCAUUGCAUGGUUGGCGAUCGUCUUUGAAAUUGAAAUUCCCCCGCGCGUUUACAAGUGUCUCAUUGUUAUGACGUACGUGUACAUGGAAAUUACUCAAUGCAAGAGCACACAAGUCAUUGAAUGUAAAAUUUAUUACUGCAAAUAAAAAAACGUUUUUAAUUAUGAAAACGGCUGGGUUUUUUUUUUAUAGCCUGAUG